UGGUUAAACACAUACCCAUCUAAAUUUUUUUAUAGCCUUCCAUGUUAAACUAUAAGUAAAUAAUUAGUUUUAAAAUUGUUUUGUAUUUUCUUAUUCCUGUUCCCUUUACCCUUUGACAACUUGAAAUGUUACCACUUCGUCCUCAUGAUGUUCUUCUAUCAACCCUGCUUAGGAUGAGAACAAGUUGAGCAGUGCCAACGGCCAUGAAGAACGUAGCAAAAAACAAACUUUCUGCCUCCUUGGAAAGCUCUACAUCUCCUUGUGAUUGGAGUGUGGGUUUCAAGAUUCCAGAAGGAGGAAAAAAAGCAAGAGCAGAAGUCGUAGUCAUGAACGAAAGAGAAGCAAAAGUAAGGAACGGAAACGAAGUAGA
RNAcentral lists this small RNA (370 nucleotides) under Pongo abelii (Sumatran orangutan). Its description in RNAcentral is "processed transcript". The record is from RNAcentral. Lineage: Eukaryota; Metazoa; Chordata; Mammalia; Primates; Hominidae.